Molecule: transfer RNA, 83 nt
Organism: Aspergillus rambellii
Lineage: Eukaryota; Fungi; Ascomycota; Eurotiomycetes; Eurotiales; Aspergillaceae
Rfam family: tRNA
About the family: Transfer RNA (tRNA) molecules are approximately 80 nucleotides in length.
Source: Rfam
GUCUCGGUGGCGCAAUUGGUUAGCGCGUGAGACUGUUAUACAGUCCUAUCUCGAGGUUGUGAGUUCGAGUCUCACCCGGGACG